GACGAACGCUGGCGGCGUGCUUAACACAUGCAAGUCGAACGGUAAGGCCCUUCGGGGUACACGAGUGGCGAACGGGUGAGUAACACGUGGGUGAUCUGCCCUGCACUUCGGGAUAAGCCUGGGAAACUGGGUCUAAUACCGGAUAGGACCACUGCCUGCAUGGGUGGUGGUGGAAAGCUGUUGCGGUGUGGGAUGGGCCCGCGGCCUAUCAGCUUGGUGGUGGGGUGAUGGCCUACCAAGGCUACGACGGGUAGCCGGCUUGAGCGGGUGACCGGCCACACUGGGACUGAGAUACGGCCCAGACUCCUACGGGAGGCAGCAGUGGGGAAUAUUGCACAAUGGGCGCAAGCCUGAUGCAGCGACGCCGCGUGAGGGAUGACGGCCUUCGGGUUGUAAACCUCUUUCAGCACCGACGAAGCGCAAGUGACGGUAGGUGCAGAAGAAGGACCGGCCAACUACUUGCCAGCAGCCGCCGUAA
Molecule: ribosomal RNA, 478 nt
Filed under: uncultured bacterium
Lineage: Bacteria
Description: partial 16S ribosomal RNA
Rfam family: Bacterial small subunit ribosomal RNA
Source: RNAcentral